AGCAUGAUUAAGACAAUGUGUUGGUUUAGAUUUAUGAUUUAUUCCACCACCAGUUCACCAGAUACCAUCCUCAUCAAUAAGGUCAUCAUGUUCUUUGUCAUCUGCCACACUCAACAUCUUCAAUCAAUGGAAACGGCUUCAAAGACAAGUCUGUUUGGACGUUCUUUUGAUCAGUGGACACAUGGACACGUGUUAAAACUCCCAAACAGCCAUUCUGCAGGAACAAAUCAAACUCUGAUAACCCCUCCUUGUUCUUGGAGCAGCUCCUUUCUGUCCUGACAUUUCCCUCCAUGUGUGUACUUGAUCAGGAACUGACAUUGACACUGAGAGCAUCAGGAGGUUGAUGAGUCCACAUCUCCCAGGUUGAGCAGAUGGAGACAAGCCUGUCCUCUCUGAGAAUGGACGGUCUGGAGGGUGGAGUUGUGACACGUUGUGGACAAGAAGAUGACACA
This is a long non-coding RNA of Mugil cephalus (flathead mullet), 452 nucleotides long. RefSeq lists it as uncharacterized. NCBI's taxonomy places the organism in Eukaryota, Metazoa, Chordata, Actinopteri, Mugiliformes, Mugilidae. The record is from RefSeq and is a predicted model, not a curated record. The transcript has 3 exons.